Xiphophorus couchianus (Monterrey platyfish) is the source of this 1155-nucleotide long non-coding RNA. RefSeq lists it as uncharacterized. The record is from RefSeq and is a predicted model, not a curated record. Lineage: Eukaryota; Metazoa; Chordata; Actinopteri; Cyprinodontiformes; Poeciliidae. The transcript has 3 exons.
AUCUUCCCUCAUUUUCUGCAGAAAAGACAAUUGCCUUGGUCUGAAUCUUUGCUAGAUAGGAAUUAAAAUAAACCUAUCAAUUUGGGGGCUUGUCCGGGAUUCCCGAUAUACCCGCCGCUGACGGAAGGAGUAAGACGCGCUGAAAACUGCCGGCAGUCAGGUUCUUUAACCUGAAAGUCCCGGGGGGUAAAUUCCUCGCUGGGCCAGUGUCUUAGGUCAAAGCUCCCUCUGCCAACGGCGGAUUGACGGGACACAGAACCGAGACAGAGCAGGAAUCAGCCAAGUAAGUAAAUAAUGUGGUAUACGGGUGGUUUUCAGUCCCCCGUUUGAUGUAAGGUAACAAUAAAAAAGGGAAAGUAUAAAAACACACGUAGGGAAGGCAAUAAAUGUGAUACCUUAAAAAACAGUGGGAAAAGGCACGUGGUCGGCUUGUUGGGGAUGAUUGUCAAGAAUUCUCCACUCAAAUCAUUUAUUGAGUUGAGUCCAAGCGAGAAUUACCACAACAAGAACUUGGCCACCACCCCAUUUUUCUAUCCCCCGUUCUGUUGGUUAGAAAGAACGGGACGAACACACUGUAAAAUAUGGGUUUUUCACACGGGAAGGAGAAAAGUCUUAAAGGGGAUGAGAAGUUAAUGUGUCAGAUGGAGCCAGGAAACUUAAUGUACCUGACUAAAUGGAAAAAGAAAUACGGUGCAGAUGGCGUGUUGGAAGUAAAGUAAAGAAAAAACGUGGUGUUUUGGUUUUAAAAUAAGGGUUAAGUAAAAAACUGGUACCAGAAAACGGGAAGUUAUUGGUUGUUGUUAGAUUCUAACAUAAGUUUGAGAUGUCUCUUUUUAAAUGUGCACGGGUUUUUAAAACAGGUUCCUGAAGACGAGAGUUUAAAAAUUAAUUAAAUUAAAACAUGAAAAAUGUUAAUAAAACAUUGGAAAAUUCCUGAAGCUUCAGUAAAAUUUGAUAAAAUAAUGAGGACAGACUGAAAAUUGGUGACUGAAACUUUGACUGACUACAAACCUGGCCAGAUGUUUUGUGUUUUUGUAAUGUGCUUUGUGUUUUGUAUUGUGUUGCAAUUCAUGUUGGUGCGAAAGAGUGUGUGAUUGGAGAUAAAAUACCACUUGGUAUUUUAUGUCAUAUAAAUACAGAGCAAUUUCUCUAAGU